CAACCCAAUACCAAGCAAUUCUAUAUCUCUAUAGAAUCUUUUAUGUUAAAACUAGUAACAAGAAGGGGCCCCCCUUCUCUUCAAUGCAAGCAUAAAUCAGCCAGGACCAACCACUGAUAAUUAACAUCCAUGAGUUUACAGUAAAAACGCCACAAGAAAACCCUACUACACUUCAUGUUAACCUAACACAAGAGCAUUUUAAGAAAGAUUAAAAGGAUAAGANGGAACUCGGCAAAUAUUAACCUCGCCUGUUUACCAAAAACAUCGCCUCUUGAUAAUAUAAGAGGUCCAGCCUGCCCAGUGACUUUGUUCAACGGCCGCGGUAUCCUAACCGUGCNAAGGUAGCGUAAUCACUUGUUCUUUAAAUGAGGACUAGUAUGAAUGGCAUCACGAAGGUUAUACUGUCUCCUUUCCCUAAUCAGUGAAACUAAUCUUCCCGUGAAGAAGCGGGAAUAAACCUAUAAGACGAGAAGACCCUAUGGAGCUUUAAACAAAUACACAAUUGCCCUUCCUUAUAAUAAAUCUCAGGAAAAUUUCCCCCCUCUACUCGGACACUUUGAUGUAUAGUUUUAGGUUGGGGUGACCACGGAGUAAAAACUAACCUCCGCAGUGAACGGGGCCUCCCCCUUAACUAAGAGCUACAACUCUAAGAAACAAUAAAUUGACACCCAUUGACCCAAAUAUUAAUUUGAUCAAUGAACCAAGUUACCCUAGGGAUAACAGCGCAAUCCACUUCAAGAGCCCCUAUCGACAAGUGGGUUUACGACCUCGAUGUUGGAUCAGGGUAUCCCAGUGGUGCAGCCGCUACUAAAGGUUCGUUUGUUCAACGAUU
This 832-nucleotide ribosomal RNA is filed under the name Leptodactylus troglodytes (Pernambuco white-lipped frog). RNAcentral's name for it is "partial 16S ribosomal RNA". It matches the Rfam family "Bacterial large subunit ribosomal RNA", at positions 1242 to 2589 of the family's 2925-position model. The record is from RNAcentral. Lineage: Eukaryota; Metazoa; Chordata; Amphibia; Anura; Leptodactylidae.